AUAUUCACUCACUAAUUUUAACCAGCUUUCAGGAGCGAAAGCUUUCACCCAACCUUCAAAUUUGUUUUUCCACCAAUUAUAGUCUUCAACUUUCAUUAGCUUUGGUGGCUUCUGCUGACUACCAUACAUAUUCUCAAACUUCAAGUUCUCUGAAAUCUCUCUUGAAUAUUCUUUCAAUUCAGAUCUUCUAUCUGUUGAUUCGGAAGUGAAAGCAUUGUAGAAUGUGUUGUAGAACUCUUCACCGUUGUUCGACAUCUUUAAUUACCUGAAAGCAAACAAACAAACUUAAUCAGUUUAAACAAUAUCAAGAAAUCUGAAAUUCACUGACUCUCGAUUGUCGUGAAAUAAUCUUGACACAAUAAACUCCACUUUCAAACGAAAUAUAACACACGGGUGAAAUCAGAUUAAACGUAUGAGCGAAACCCAAGUUGGACAAAUAAGCGAAACUCGCUCGGACAAAUAAGCGGACCACCGGCUUGACCGAAUGAGCGGAUCUCCUAUUGGACCGAAUAAGCGAAUCUCCUAUUGGACCGAAUAAGCGAACCUCCUAUUGGACCGAAUAAGCGAACCUUGUUGAGCUGAAUAAGCGGAACCUUUGAUGACAAAUAAGCGGACCAGGUUAUUUCCGGAUGAGCGAGCCUGGUAAGUGUCCGUUCGAGCGGAUCUGCAAGUUCGAAUAAGCGGACCUAAAAUGUACGUACGAGUGGAUCUACUUGAUGUCCGUUCGAGCGGAUCUAGCUUGUUCGUUCGAGCGGAUCUAGCACUUUCGAGCGGAACUAUUCAGAAUGUGACCCAAUAAGCGGAUCUAUGUAAUUUGGAGCGAAACUAGUGUCUUUGAAGCGAACCUAGAUGGUCAUAAAAGCGGACCUAUGUAACUUUCGAGCGAACCUAUCCACUGUCCGAAUAAGCGGAACUACAUUCGAAGGUUAUUUUGUCCAUUUUUAGGUUGAAUUUUGACAUGAAACUUUCAAGGAUCUGUUAUUAUCCACUAAUACACAUUCUGUGAAAAAUUUGAUCAAUUUUAACCGUGAAAACUUGUUCAGAUUGAAAAAGAAGGUGUAGAAGAUAGAAAACAGAUCCAAUUUGAGCUAAACUCUUCUUCCUGUGCUCUGAUACCACUUGUGGGAUCGUUGUUGAACCCAAAUGAGUCAAUCCGAAGAGUUGUUUAUCCAAUUCAGAGGCGGAAACAAAGAAUUAGACGCUCAAACUAAUUAUAAUGCUUUCUUUUAUUGAUCUAACAACAUUUACAACCUGAAAGCAAAUUGGCAGCACUUCGUUACAAGUUCCAGAAGUUACCAAAUGAACAACCAUGCACCUAUUUAUAGUAGUGGCUGGUUCGCUUAUAGAGACAUCCAUAUAAGCGGACCUAUGAGCUUGUGGUUCGCUUAUAUGGACGUUCAUAUGAGCGGACCUACUUGCUGAUGGUUCGCUUUUAUGGACAGUGUUCAUAUAAGCGGACCUUCUUACUAAACCGCCAACUUUCGUUUCUCGAACCUCGUUCACUGGAUAUUCUAUUCUAUCCUAUUCUAUAACAUGAUACAAGACGAAGUCAAUAGACGUAAUGCACUAAUAGAUAUGUUGUUCGGAUUCCAUCUUUGUUUGUGUGUUUUAGUUGUUAUAAGAAAGCCCUAAUUUUAUUCGUCUCAAUUUUUAUGUUGUUGAUGUUUAAUCCGUUAAUUGUAUAUAUGUUAAUGAAGCUUCGAUCACAACGGCAAAGCAUUGGCGCUAUACCAACACUAAAUCUUCUUGAUUCGAGCAAAGGUAUUUGUUCCCAUCACUGAAUCUGGGAAUUCCUGUGUUAUUCAUCCAUGUUUUGUAUGAAACCGGUACAUAACAUGAGUUAUUCAUUAGGUAUGGUAUCUAGACUCCUUAGAAUGUUUUUUUUUAAGAUCUGUAAUUGAUGGCAAAUAUUUAUAAGGCUUUAGGUCUAGAGCUAGAUGGUCUUAUUUGUUCAUGUUGGUCCAAAAGGGAUUAUAAUAAGCUAUAA
RNAcentral lists this long non-coding RNA (1987 nucleotides) under Helianthus annuus (common sunflower). RNAcentral's name for it is "hypothetical non coding rna". The record is from RNAcentral. Lineage: Eukaryota; Viridiplantae; Streptophyta; Magnoliopsida; Asterales; Asteraceae.